GAACUCUUCGGAGGGAAGGCAGYGGAAUGAGCGKYGUKACGGGUGAGUAACACGUAAGGAACCUGCCUCAAGGAUUGGGAUAACUCCGAGAAAUCGGAGCUAAUACCGGAUAGUUCAACGGACCGCAUGGUCCGCUGAUGAAAGGCGCUYCGGCGUCACCUUGAGAUGGCCUUGCGGUGCAUUAGCUAGUUGGUGGGGUAACGGCYCACCAAGGCGACGAUGCAUAGCCGACCUGAGAGGGUGAUCGGCCACACUGGGACUGAGACACGGCCCAGACUCCUACGGGAGGCAGCAGUAGGGAAUCUUCCACAAUGGACGAAAGUCUGAUGGAGCAACGCCGCGUGAGUGAUGAAGGUUUUCGGAUCGUAAAACUCUGUUGUAAGGGAAGAACACGUACGAGAGGGAAUGCUCGUACCUUGACGGUACCUUACGAGAAAGCCACGGCUAACUACGUGCCAGCAGCCGCGGUAAUACGUAGGUGGCAAGCGUUGUCCGGAAUUAUUGGGCGUAAAGCGCGCGCAGGCGGCCUUUUAAGUCUGAUGUGAAAGCCCCCGG
Molecule: ribosomal RNA, 555 nt
Filed under: Exiguobacterium acetylicum
Lineage: Bacteria; Bacillati; Bacillota; Bacilli; Caryophanales
Description: bacterial SSU rRNA
Source: RNAcentral